Molecule: unclassified non-coding RNA, 355 nt
Filed under: soil metagenome
Description: partial contains 5.8S ribosomal RNA, internal transcribed spacer 2, and large subunit ribosomal RNA
Rfam family: 5.8S ribosomal RNA (bases 1-120)
Source: RNAcentral
GAUGAAGAACGUAGCGAAAUGCGAUAAGUAAUGCGAAUUGCAGAAUUCAGUGAAUCAUCGAAUCUUUGAACGCACAUUGCGCCCGCUAGUAUUCUGGCGGGCAUGCCUGUCUGAGCGUCAUUUCAACCCUCGCCCCCGGCUUUUGCUGGGAGCGGUGUUGGGGAUCGGCCGCCCGUCACUGGGAGGCCGGCCCCGAAAUAGAGUGGCGACCACGCCGUGUGCUCCUCUGCGUAGUAGUAAAUCACCUCGCAGGCGGACAGCGGUGCGGCCUGCCGUAAAACCCCCAACUCUUUCUGGUUGACCUCAGAUCAGGUAGGAGUACCCGCUGAACUUAAGCAUAUCAAUAAGCGGAGGA